This 511-nucleotide ribosomal RNA is filed under the name uncultured bacterium. RNAcentral describes it as "partial 16S ribosomal RNA". It matches the Rfam family "Bacterial small subunit ribosomal RNA", at positions 30 to 523 of the family's 1533-position model. The record is from RNAcentral.
AUUGAACGCUGGCGGCAUGCCUAACACAUGCAAGUCGAACGGCAGCACAAUAAAGAUUUCGGUCUUUAUGGGUGGCGAGUGGCGGACGGGUGAGUAACGCGUAGGAAUCUGUCCUGGAGAGUGGGAUAAUCCGAGGAAACUCGGGCUAAUACUGCAUGACAUUGAGAGAUCAAAAGCAGGGGACCGAAAGGCCUUGCGCUCUGGGGUGAGCCUACGUCGGAUUAGCUAGUUGGUGGGGUAAAGGCCUACCAAGGCGACGAUCCGUAGCUGGGCUGAGAGGAUGACCAGCCACACUGGGACUGAGACACGGCACAGACUCCUACGGGAGGCAGCAGUGGGGAAUCUUGGACAAUGGGGGAAACCCUGAUCCAGCGAUGCCGCGUGUGUGAAGAAGGCCUUCGGGUUGUAAAGCACUUUAGGUGGGGAAGAAAGGUAGCGAGUGAAUAACUUUCUGCUGUGACGGUACCCACAGAAUAAGCACCGGCUAACUCUGUGCCAGCCGCCGCCGUAA